CCAUCUCUCACUUCCAAAACCUCCUUGGACCAGACUCCUUAUCAUCGCCAAGCCAUCAAUCUCCUCCUCAAUGGUUUGCUCAACUAAUAGAGUUCUGCCCAACUGAGUUGCAAGUAUCUGCAAUGAUCACCAUACCCUCGGCUGUGGAGAUCCAGAAGAUAUUGUUUAAGCUAAACCCGAACAAGUCUCCAGGUCCUGAUGGAUUUACAUCGGCUUUUUACAAAUCUUCCUGGAGUUUCCUUGGAGUGGAAGUGCUUACUGCGAUCACUCAUUUCUUCCAGCAAUCUUUUCUUCCUGCCUCUGCCAACUCAACCAUCCUUGCGCUUGUCCCAAAACGCCCGGGAGCCUCCUCUGUCACAGAUUACCGUCCAAUAAGUUGUCUAAACACUCUCUAUAAAGUCAUUGCAAAAUUGCUAGUGAGAAAAAUCAAACCUAUUUUGCCUGCGCUGAUUGUUCCUAAUCAAACGGCUUUUGUGAAAGACAGAUUGAUUAUGGAGAACACGGUGUUGGCUGGAGAGCUUGUCAAUGGAUAUCACAAGAAAAAAGGGCCGAAAAGAAUUACUAUAAAGGUUGAUAUCGCCAAGGCCUUUGACACGCUCUCUUGGGACUUCCUUUUCAACUGCCUUGAAG
RNAcentral lists this long non-coding RNA (630 nucleotides) under Brassica rapa (field mustard). RNAcentral describes it as "long non-coding RNA (BRAP_LNC005158)". The record is from RNAcentral. Lineage: Eukaryota; Viridiplantae; Streptophyta; Magnoliopsida; Brassicales; Brassicaceae.